GAUAGCACCGCUUAUAUUUUCACGCGGUGGAAGAUAAAUUAAACGUAUAUGAUUCGGUUACAUGUUGUCGUUGUUGUUGUUGUUUUGGUCUUUCCAGGAUGUCAGCUGUACGGCCACCAUAGUCAAAAACAGGAGAGUCCCGAGAGAGGGGAAAAUGGAGCGGGAAACUGAAGAAGGAACUAUCCCGGGUCCAAAAGGGCUAAAAUCCCAGCCACCGGCGGGUUUGAAAUCUCGGGGAUGCACGGAUUGGCCAGGGAGGCUGUGGAGCAGCCUGUCUUUCUGGAAGAGCCCCUGGGUGAAAGGUCAAACCCCUUGUGGAACAGUUUUCUCCCUUGUGUGAUACACCAGCUGGACGUUCGGUGAAAACUUUGGUUUGAAAAGUGAAAGUUUUCUAGCCGACUUGUAGGCUAUAUCCAGGUUAAAAACCUGAGCUAACAUCUCUCAACCUAGAUUUCCACCCCUCUAGACGUCUAAAUUCCGUCUAGGUACCAUCUAGAUUUGGGUAUUCGGCGAUACGUCUGACGCAGGCCUGCUGCAGGUUUCAGGGCCCAGUCCAGCGUUCCCUGUUCUCCGACACCAGCGUCCCUUCCGCACAGAUCUCACUUAAAAUGUCGUGAGAAGUUGAGAGUUAAAUCCCAGUUUUGCGAGGGGGCCGAAGCAGGCGUGAAUGUGAAAUCUGCUCUAACGCUCGUUCUACGCUCGGCUGUCCUCAGAAACCGUUAUUUCAGAGCCUUUCCUGUGGCACGUGAUUUAAAAAAAAAAAAAAAAGCGCUGCAGCUAAAGUGCAUGCGGCCGUCUGAAAGUCUAUCGACCAUGCGAGCGAGUGCCCUUCUUAAUGACCUUUGUUUUAUGAUUUAAUGAACCCAGUCCCUUUUAAGCGUUUCCCUUUUGUAGGGCAGCGCAAUCUCAAUCAUACAGUAAGUGCUUGCUUGCAUCUGGUUGACAUGUGAAGCUGAAGCUUCUGAGCCACAGAAACACAUACUGUGCAUGGCAACAUGCACUUUGUGUAAUCGGACCUUUGCAUCCACAAUCAAAAAGGAUAUAUAUGUUCUUCCUCUGUUGUAGACCAGGCUCAAAUACAUAUUAUAAUAACCAACUCUUUAGAUGGCGGUAAAACCUUCAAAAAUUCCUGCUGAUCCGUGAGAAGUUUAAUUAAAACAAGGGCUUAAUCGAAACUAAAUUUUGUUAUCAGUACUGGUGAAAACAGAUGUUUCUUUCUUUAAAAAAAAUUUUUUUUUUAAAGAUUUAAUCUGCAGAAAUGUUGAAGGUGUCUAAAUGUUUUAAAAGUAUUUGGGUAAAUAUUUGACCCAGGUGUAGUCAGAAGCCAAAAAUGUUUCCAGUUUUAACCAUUCAGUUACAAGCCCAGUUCUACAUCCAUUACUCCACAAAAGUGAACUUGACCCUAAAAUUUAUUUUUGAAUGGUAAAUUAUUCUGUCCACUGAGUAUAUUGUCACAGAUAAUAACAUUUACAACACACCUGUCUUCUAGACAAACUCACUCUGACUGACAGUGGAGUAGAGAGUUUGUGAUUGGACCUAUGAUUCCAUGUAACUUUAUAUAGAUAUUUAUAUAAGCGCCGUUUGCCAGGAUAUAUCUGGUUUGUAAUGACUCUGUUGCUCUGGGAAAGCUUAAUGUCCUUCUACAUAAAGAAAUCCCGCUGCAAUCUCCUUCCUAAUAAAGGAGUUAUCAUUGCUUUUUGCAGGAGCAGAAUAGCUCUGUGACAAGCAGAUUAUAACCAGCGAUCCUCAGGACUUAGGCUACAGGAUCUAAUUGGCUACACAAUCCCUUGCAUUCCACGUCCAGCUCACAGCUUGUCACUGCACAAGAGAGAUGAGCUCUCCAUUGGCCUACCUGUUGGAGUAAAGUUAAAAUUAAAUGAAUGUAAUAAGCCUGAAUCCAUAGCGAUGGGAGGAAGAUAAAGCUGUUUUUGAAAACCACUCUCAAGCCAACGGUGUCUGACGAACUGAACUGACGUUACUACAAAGCAACCUUUCAAAGAGAUAUUUCUUAGAAUUAAAUUUCCUUGCUGCUGUUUUACAGUAUAAUUGAAGAU
Molecule: long non-coding RNA, 2054 nt
Organism: Anguilla rostrata (American eel)
Lineage: Eukaryota; Metazoa; Chordata; Actinopteri; Anguilliformes; Anguillidae
Exons: 4
Source: RefSeq, a predicted model, not a curated record